GACCCAAUUGUUGGGUAUUUUAAACGCAAACAGAAAAAUCCGCAAGCGCACGGAUACCGAUGUAGCUUUCACCCGGGAGUAUUCCAGAGUAUCGAUUUUCCACAGAGAACGUGAGUGUACUAAUUAAGAUCCAAGAUCGCCCAAGGAUAAAUAUAUGAAUAUUUUUGGUGGGAAGAGAGGAAGUUUCCUGAGAGUUCUCUAGUUGAUCUAAGAAUCAAGAAUUACUUCAAGAUUAUCUAUUUCGGGACAUCAGAACACUAACCACAGAAAGAGAUGAGAAGGGGGCUAGGAAGCUCCGACUACGGUCCUACAAACACCGAUCCGAACGAGGUGGAAUACGUCGACCGUUAGGGCUGUCACUAUCCUAAGGCUACCACAACAAUCCGCAGGAUUGGGUGCAAUUCCAGGUAAUUGCAAGACUAAACACCACGUCUAAUCUAUUAAUUACUACUCUAAUGUUUGAAACACUAGAGCACUUGAUGCAAGCGGGAAUCCAAUAAAUAACUUGAAUGUAAAUAAAAGUAAUUAUAGAACUCAGGAGUUAUGAAUUGAAGAACCUGGAGAACGAUGAAGAACGAACGAGAUGCUGCAAAAGUAUAAUGUUGAGGAAGAUCCGACAGAUCCGGCUCCUCCUCCGCUCUCCUCUUCUCUCUCCCUAUUUUCUAGAUUACAACUAGAACUAACUAGAACUAGAACUAGAGGAACUAGAACUAGAACUUGAUGAACUAGAACUAGAUCUAGAUGAACUAGAGGUAGAACUAGAAGAACUAGAGGGAUCCUCUCUACUUGGAUGAAGAAUUGAAACCCUAACUUUGACUCUGUAGAAGAGGUAUGAUCUCCAGGGGCCAGGGGGUCUGGUUUUAUAGUCCCUUCAAGUGAAUCUGGGCCGUCGGAUCAAACCGACAUUGAUCGCACGGUUUUCCUUGAUCCUUUAGGUCGGUGGAGCAUAAUCCGCGAAACGUGUCCUGAUUGGACACUGUAGCUUGGCGGGCGCCCAGGAGAGUUGGGCGGGCGCCCUGCCUCCAAGCCCGAUUUCCUUCCCGUUCGUUCCCGUGGCUUCUGGAGUCUUCUAGAUGAUAGAAAAUUGCGCGGCACGUUAAUAUCUCUAUGUAAACCCGACGUGUGGGCCUUUCUUCCAUAUUUCCUGAUAACCCCCUGCAGAAAUAGACAAACACCAAAACUCGUGGAAUUCUGUCAGAUAAAACCCUAAGUCUAGGUGUUGGUUGCAUUUGGAUCCUUUUCUAUGAUUAGUUGAUGGUUAAAUAUGAGCAUUAAGGACCGUCAACAAGCUCCCCCAAGCUUAACCUUUGCUCGUCCCUGAGCAAAGAUGAACUCAAGAGUUUCUGCAGUGGUUUCAUAACUUAAAGAUACACAUGCGUUUAAACAAGAUUUCAUCUCUGGUUAGAGUAAACUGUUAAGACUUAAAACUUACUCAUUUACCUUUCACCAUGGGACUUGUAACCAUCACUUUUGUCUUGAGUAGUUAAAAGAUAGAACAGUCUACUCAAGCACUAUGUCUCUUGUUCUUCGAUUAACUAUAGCUCUGGAGUUUUUUGCAGAUUUUCAAAUAAAACUCAGAGAUUCCUUGUAUGACUCUCUCUAGUCUCUCUUUUGUGGUAUUUCUAGAUCCUUACCAAGGCAGUAAUGGUGUAUGCGUUCUCUCAAAGUAUGUGGUAUUUGUAGUAUAAGGCAUAGUGACAUUGCCUUCUCUCUCACCCUACUCUAAUAAGGCUUUGAUAUCUGGAGCUCAUAGGUGGGAGACAGCUAAUACAUACUUACAAGACAUUUAUUGCAUAGUCAAACCAUGGAUCCAGAAGAACAAGUCAAUAAGUCAAAUCAAGAUGUGCAUGUGUGGCGAAUGAAUAGUAUAUGGUGAUGAUGGUGAUAACAAUGGUGAAAGUCUAAUUCUACUUGUGCUCUUUUGAGGGGAUACAUACCUUUCUUGCUCUUUUGAAACUUUCAGGGAGAAUGAGAUGCUCUGUAUUUUCUUUUUCUUUUUUUUUCUUUUCUCUCAGGUGGGUAUCUUGUACCCCUAAUUCUACUGUCGGACACUUGUCCAUUUUUACCUCUCGUCUCACUUUUUCUUCUUUUUUUUCUUUCGAGGUUCCGGGCACUUGCCCCUUUUUAUUUCCUCGUAUUCUUCUUCUUUUUUUUUCUCUUUUUUUCUUUAGAGCACUCAUCUCAUGAGAUAAUAUAGCAAGUGGUAGUAACAAGAUAACUUGAGCAGUUAUUUCACAGGGAAAAAAUAGAAAUAUUUUUGGCUAUUCUCUCCCGGAUUAGGAGUAGAAUAUUUUUGGGUGGUUCUGGAGAUGGAAAUGGGUAUAUGUGGAUGGUACUUCCAGAGUAGAAGUAGCAUGUAUGAGUGAACGUGCAAGUGAAUCUUGACUUAACCACAUGACAAGCUCCUAAGGGUCUACACAGCUUGACCACACUCAAUGCUCAUAAGCAGUAAAAAGUAAAUGUGUGGCUCAAAGUCUAGCAAGCAUGUAUAUAUGGCUGUGGUAGGAAUUUAAACUCUCAUCAUACAGGAACUCAUCAUGUGAUAUUUUAAAGAUUUUCAAAGAUAAAAUUCUCCAGAAUUCUAGCAUCUCUAGGAACAGAUAAACAGCAGCUCAACCUUCCCAUAUCAUAUCCGUUAACGACUUAGACUUCAGAUCAAGUACUCUUCCCACAAGUUCAGGUUUAGAGCAAAUCUUAAUUAAUAACAGUGAUACCUAAACUUGAGAGAGAUUUCAAUUUUGAGAACUAGUCAUGGCAGAGCAACUAUUCAUCUUUCCAUGUGAAAGCUUAUCAUGAGCGUUCAUAGCAAAUUUUUAUUUAUUUAUUUAUUUAGCAAACUAAGCAAAGAUAUAUAUAUAAGCACAAAAUCUUUAUUUGGGUUUUUAUGAUUAUGCAUCUUUUUAUUAUUUGAGUAAAAUAUAAACGUGAGUAGAAUACUUAGCUGGAUAAAUGGAGGUGCUCUCCCCCAAGCUGGAUUUUGACGUAAUUCCUUUUGAUGUAGCAGGUGGCGGAGGUGUAUUUGAAUGUCGGCAGCACCCUGACAUUGAUUAGGAUGUCCUCCGUCUACUAGUCUUCUUUGAUCCUUUAAUUCUGUGGAGCUCAAAUAGACAACAAAGCUUUGUGGAACUAGUUAAGUGUUAGCAUAAAUAUCUAGCCUUUAUCAUGUUGAGCCUCCUCAAUAAAUGUUACUCUCUUUAGUAGGAUCAUAAAUUUAUUUUUAUAUUUUCAUUUUUAUAGGACAGGAAUAUAUUUAUUUAUUUUUACGCCACCACAAUGAAUGUACUUAUGGGUUUUAUGCCAUGAGCAUACUCACAUGGGGCUUACUAUUUUUAACAUUUUUAUUUUCUUUUCAAGAUAAUAUGAACCUGAUUAACUAAGCAAACUAUUUUAAAAUAAUUGAAAGGAAAAAGAUAAUUACCAAAUUUACCUCUUGGCAAAGCGUUCGGUGUUUUUAAGUCCUCCGAACGGGACUCUCCGUUUUCUCAGUCGUCCUGGGAUUCGCUGGAUGGCGUAGUCGGUGGUUCCGGCGGCGCCUUCUCUUCAUGUAUAACUAUCUUCUCUCUCCACACUUGACUCGGUGCUACGGUCUCCUCAGGACAGUUCUGUUCAAGCUGUAUGUCGUCAGACAUUACAACUUCUCCUUCAUAGUCUACCCAUCCGUCCUUGAUGAUUUGUUUCCUCUGGUUGCGGUCGCAUCCUCGUCUUCUUGUCCUGACCUGCUUAGAGUCUUUAACUAUAUAGUUAAGGUCAGUAAAAUAGCAGCGUACCUACUCAGAGGGGAAGUGCAUGUGGACUUCUCCGGUUCCAAUGUAGAUGAUUGCUUUAACAGUGCUAAGGAACGGUCUUCCAAGGAUGAUGGGUGGAUCGUACUUGUCUUCUCCCAUGUCAAUAACCUAAAAAUCAUCUGGAGCUGAAUGUAUGACGGUUUUAGGGGCAUGGUUCCGAAUAGGAGCUGAUAGGUGACUGGCAGCCAUUAUGUUGACACCUGACCCGGUGUCGCAAAGCAUCUUCUGGAAGUUGUAUCCAUCAAUGGAGCACUGGAUGCUUGGCAUACUUGGGUCAUCCUUUUUGGUUAGGAACGGUGACUUAAGUCGACGAUCUUGACCUCCUUGAACUGCAGUGACCAUCUUUGCUGACUUGGUCCACAUUUGCUUGUUCCUGUUCCUCCUGUUGGUCCUCUUCCUUGUUUCAUGUCAGGAUUGCUCUGAGAUUUGUGUAGUCUUGUUCUUGAAGGAAAACGUCUCCGUCCUUCCCUUGAUGUAGAAACUGAUCUUGACAGCACUAGCGUAGAUGACAGCUCUCGAGGUGUUCAGGAAUGGCCUCCCUAGGAUGAUGGGUGCCCUCUCAUCAGUAUCAGUCUCUAUCACCACGAAGUCUGCUGGAGCGUAUAAGGUACCAACUCGGACAUAGAGGUUCUUCAAUAUUCCCUUUGGGAAACUUAGUGUCUGAUCUGCAAGCUGCAAACACAUGGUUGUUUCUAGGAAAGGAUAUGUAAAGAAUUUGUCAUAGAGUAUUCUGAGCAUAAUGUUGACGCUGGAGCCAAAGUUGCAGAGUGCUUCUAGGAAGUCCACCAUGCUGAUGGAGAUCGGGAUGACGGGACGUCCUGGAUUGUAUCUCUUGACCGGCAGAAGGUCAGUAAUUACUUCCACAACAGGGUUACUCUAGUAGUUACGUCCUCAAGCAUCUCAGUGCAGUGAUUGCCUGAGUGUCCAGUAUCUCCAGUGUGUUUGUGCUCAUAGAUCUAGGUUCUUCACUUGGUGGAGUCUUGUGAAAGCUUUCCUUUCUUAUCGGUUGUGCAUCGUGUUUGUGGCACACUCCAGGGAUCAUCUCUUGUGAGCUAUGUCUUCCUUGUGUAAAUUGUUAAACUUCAUGUGUGUCUCUCUUUGUCUCCAAUGUGAGUUUAUCUCAGGACUUUCCAGGUCGAUAGUGAAAGUUUUCCUGCAGGGGUUAGUCCAACAAAAUAUCCAAUAUCUACUAUAGCAUACUAUCGGCUCAAAGAUCAACCUAGACACCAUGUAUAAUUUGAUUUAGGAGGGCAUUUUAACUUAAGCAUCAUGCUUAAUUUAAACUCCCUUGGAUGUAAGAUCAUCAGCCCUAAACUAAGCACCAUGCUUAAUUAAGAGAUAAAUGAAACUACUCCAAGCCUAGACAUAUACUAAAACAAAUAAAGGUAGCAUGAGAGCAUUUAUAGAGAUCUACUCAAGUGGAGAUGAAGUAGUGUGAUUAGUAUUUAACUAAUUGAGCAUGUCUCAAAGGUUGGGACAACCAACAUAGCAACAUGGCAAAGGAUGUUUUUAUGUAAAGUACUCCCCCAAGCUUGAAUUUUGCAAAAUUCAAGUUUGGAUGAAUUUAAUUCAAUGUUGUAUGAUGGUUGGUUGGACAUACCUUGUGCUUGUCAUUCAUCCGAUCUUCUUGCUCCAAUCCUGAAAAGGUUAGUGACAAGAAUACCCGAAGGAAUUUUUUUACAAUUGUCCUUAUAUGCUAAACACACAAGGUAAUGUUACAAAUAAUUAAAAGCUCAUGUUACGAUCUUAUCAGUGCUUGUUUUAGGACACUAAGCUUGUCCUUUGGGAAACCAUCAAUUUAUGUCGGCGAAGUGGUUUCCCCUCCAACGCUGACCUAUAUCAAGAUCAAUUCAACGAGAUCUACAAUAUUUAAUAUAGACAUAUGCAUCGACAACCGCCCUUUUAAAGUUUUUAUAAAUAGAAAGGAAGAGGGGGUUGGAGAUCUCGAAUGUGGUGAUGUUGGAGAGACCAAUGGAUUGUGAAGAUGUUGCAUAUGAGCAUGGAGUAAAUGAAGUGGCUAUGAAAUAAAUUCCAUGCUCAUUAAUGCUUAGAGUGAAAUCCAUGUGGUGUGGUGAAAAUGAUAAGGUGAGUGUGGUAAAAAGGAAAAAGGAUACACGGACGACUUGGUUCGAAACUAGCACAGCUACCGUUCCCCGGCAACGGCGCCAGAAAGCUUGUUGGGUAUUUUAAACGCAAACAGAAAAAUCCGCAAGCGCACGGAUACCGAUGUAGCUUUCACCCGGGAGUAUUCCAGAGUAUCGAUUUUCCACAGAGAACGUGAGUGUACUAAUUAAGAUCCAAGAUCGCCCAAGGAUAAAUAUAUGAAUAUUUUUGGUGGGAAGAGAGGAAGUUUCCUGAGAGUUCUCUAGUUGAUCUAAGAAUCAAGAAUUACUUCAAGAUUAUCUAUUUCGGGACAUCAGAACACUAACCACAGAAAGAGAUGAGAAGGGGGCUAGGAAGCUCCGACUACGGUCCUACAAACACCGAUCCGAACGAGGUGGAAUACGUCGACCGUUAGGGCUGUCACUAUCCUAAGGCUACCACAACAAUCCGCAGGAUUGGGUGCAAUUCCAGGUAAUUGCAAGACUAAACACCACGUCUAAUCUAUUAAUUACUACUCUAAUGUUUCAAAGACUAGAGCACUUGAUGCAAGCGGGAAUCCAAUAAAUAACUUGAAUGUAAAUAAAAGUAAUUAUAGAACUCAGGAGUUAUGAAUUGAAGAACCUGGAGAACUAUGAAGAACGAACCAGAUGCUGCAAAAGUAUAAUGUUGAGGAAGAUCCGACAGAUCCGGCUCCUCCUCCGCUCUCCUCUUCUCUCUCCCUAUUUUCUAGAUUACAACUAGAACUAACUAGAACUAGAACUAGAGGAACUAGAACUAGAACUAGAUGAACUAGAACUAGAUCUAGAUGAACUAGAGGUAGAACUAGAAGAACUAGAGGGAUCCUCUAUACUUGGAUGAAGAAUUGAAACCCUAACUUUGAUUCUAUAGAAGAGGUAUGAUCUCCAGGGGCCAGGGGGUCUGGUUUUAUAGUCCCUUCAAGUGAAUCUGGGCCGUCGGAUCAAACAGACAUUGAUCGCACGGUUUUCCUUGAUCCUUUAGGUCGGUGGAGCAUAAUCCGCGAAACGUGUCCUGAUUGGACACUGUAGCUGGGCGGGCGCCCUGCCUCCGAGCCCGAUUUCCUUCCCGUUCGUUCCCGUGGCUUCUGGAGUCUUCUAGAUGAUAGAAAAUUGCGCGUCACGUUAAUAUCUCUAUGUAAACCCGACGUGUGGGCCUUUCUUCCAUAUUUCCUGAUAACCCCCUGCAGAAAUAGACAAACACCAAAACUCGUGGAAUUCUGUCAGAUAAAACCCUAAGUCUAGGUGUUGGUUGCAUUUGGAUCCUUUUUUAUGAUUAGUUGAUGGUUAAAUAUGAGCAUUAAGGACCGUCAACACCAAUCAUGUUAGUUUGCUUUAGUUAGGUUGAUUGUUUUAUCAUGAUGAUUUGGCUCUUUGUAAUAGGUGUAGCUUCAGUGAAUAUCAGGGAAGAUCCCUAUUAAGUGGGUAGAGUUGUCUCACCCCAAAAUUUCUAUUUUGGGAUGUGACAUAGAAAAUAUUAAAUGACAUCAAUUGAUUUUAUCAUUUUUCUAAAAUUUCCCAACUUUAGUUAUUCUGUUGACAUUCUAGAUAGUGGAUGUCACACCCAUAUUUUAAGAACAAAAUAGGAUGCAUAAAAGACUCAUAUGUGCCCCAGAAACAGUCACACAAAUAAGUAGACAAAUCUCAAAUGUACCAUUGCAGUGUUUAUUACAUAACAGGACGAUAAUAAAUCACAUAGUCUUAUACAAUAAUAAUAAUAAUAAUAAUAAUAAUAAUAAUAAUAAUAAUAAUAAUAAUAAUAAUAAUAAUAAUAAUAAUAAUAAUAAUAAUAAUAAUAAUAUAAUAAUAAUAACAAUAAAUAACGCUCUCAACGGAAGCUUCACACAGGUAUAGACAUUGACUGGUUGACUUCAAACCUAAUACUCAUAUCGAUAGUCCUUAUUCCAAUCAUCUUCAUUUGCAUAACCUGGGGUGUUGGGAAAUUGCAAGAGUGAGCACAUAUCGUACUCAACAAGUAUAACCAGGGGUUCAUGAGGCUCAAAUAGCUGACACUGGUUUAACUGCAUUUAGCUUUUAAUUAGGGAUAGCAUGUUCAUAAUUAAAUAGCAAGAGUCAAGGUAGCACAAGUAAUCCAAUAAUCACAUGAUCAAAUGUAAGCAUAAUUAACUCAUAGCAUAAAGAUAACCAAAUGAACAUAAUAACUUAACAAGCUCAUCAUCUUUAGUAUAAGAACCCCAAGGCCGCUCAUAACCGUGAGCACGGCUAGUAUACUAGUUUUAACACUCUGCAGAAGUUUUACAUCUUUACCCAUGAGUCAUGAUUUGCCCUUUCGCCCAAGGUAGCUAAUCUCUUAACCCCCUUCCUAGGGAGAUUGGCAGGGAUCACUAUGAAGCCUUUCAAAAGUUCGUCUAACAUGUUAGGGCCGCAAGAUUUCCCGGGCGCGUAGAUAUAGAGCUCCCCUUCCAAUGGCACAAUGACUCGCAGCCUAUACACAUAAAGACAGAGGCCACACUAUACCCAAAACGACAAGCCCCUCUAGCGCCCUUUUGGGUAACCGCUAACAAGCUAGAAAAUGUCUUCAUACUGAGCUAAAGCCAGAGCAAUUAUAGCCCUCUUGGUUGCACUGUUAUCCCGAUGAUCACUUAUAGACAAGAUCUCAUAUGGUUAUCAGUCAUCUUUCAACGUUCAUUGCAUAGCUAUUAAUCAUCUUACAAGAUCAUGGAUUACAUCAAGCACUAGCAUAACUACACCAAAAUGCAUAUCAAAUAGGUAACAAGGAAUACAGGUAACAAUCAUCUAUGAUUUUGCUAAGGUCGACAAGGUAGACACAUGCAUAUGAUAUAUAUAUAUAUAUGUAUUUAUAAGUGUGUAGGUAACAAGAAUGAUUCCAAGUUAUACUUGCCUUGAUCAAAGCUCUCCUGAGCCUGCUGCUGGUCGUCAAAAGCUUGGUCUUGCUCACCAACGUACGACUCACCGUCUAUCCCUAAACAUCAAUCAACAACACACAAUCCAAUAUAGACAAUCAUACACAAAGCAAACAAGCUGUAGUUAAAACAUUACACCAACAGUGAUAAAUCAAAGAUAAAAGUUUAUGAAAAUAUUCUAAACAGCGCUACGAUCACACAAACGUAAAGUUCACGAAAAUCGGAAUUAAAACGUAGAAGUUAUGAAUUUUCUAAGAUUUCCUAUAAAUAAAUAAAUAAUUAAAUGCUACUACGAAAUUAAAAAGUUUCAAAACAGAGAAAUAAUACAUCUAACAUGUAGAGCUCGUAAAUACAAAUCUAACAAAAUUUUAAUGGACAAAAACGGAGUUAAAACGAAUAUUUUAUAAGCAAAACAAAUCCAGUGGUAAUUCUGUAAAUAUAUGAAAGCAUAUUUUGAACUUAGCCGACAAGAAUACGCCUUCCAAACUGAAAAGCGUAAAACCGCCAAUGCGCCAUGGACCGCGGGUUUGAAUCUCAAGAAUCCCAGGGACUCUUUAGAAAAAGAGGCAGCGAAGGGGUAUGUUUCUUUCUGGGGCGUUGAACUUCGAUCGGACGGCUCGGACGCAUCAGGGGGGAUGACAGGCGGCGGCCGGCCGACUCCCUGUACUCCGGCGCGGUGGUGCGCCAUGGGCGCCACUCGGAGCUCACCGGCGUUCUUCAAUCUCAUGAAUUUGUGCGCCAAAAACCGAACUAAGGACAUGGGGACAUGGAGAAGCUCACCGCGGACCCGCUGGAGUGCUUCGCUGGCGCCGAAGUGCAAGGGAAAGAGCUCGCGACGCACGGCGGCUGGCUCCCUCUCGGCGAGUUUCAAUCAUGCGCGGCUAGGGCUUGGUUUUCUAGGUUUUUGCGGCACGGGUGGAAAAACGAGAUGCGGGGUGAAGCUAAAGGCCUUUAUAGGGCUCGGGGAAGUCAAAUCCCGCAUAAAUCGGGAUAGGGAAGGAUUUGGUGGCGUCCCGGUUUGAGUCCGGCUCGGUGACGCCCGAAAGAAGAAGGAAGCGGGGUGAGACGCUGGCGUGCGGGCCCGUGCUGUCAGCCAGAGGUGCGCUGGGUCCCAGCCGUCAGUGGCAGCAAGGAAGGAGAGGGGAGGGGCGCGCCUGCUGGCCGCGCUCUGGGCCGCCGGUUGGGCCGAGCGAGGGGGAAGAGGGGUGCUGGGCCGUGCGCGGGGGAGAAGCAGGCCAGGGGGAUAGGGCUGGCUGGGGUUUUUCCUUUUUUAUUCUUUCUUUUCCAAAACCUUUUUUUAAUAGGAGCUUGAAUGCAAUUAAUUUCCAACCAAAAGCAACAAGCAUAAAAUAAAAUAUGCUCCAGCAUGAAUGCAUAAACAAGUUCCUAACCCUAUGAUAAAUUUUAAUUUCUACAAAAAUUAAUUAAAUGCUAAGUUAAAUGCUCACAAAAUACUUAAAUAAAUCCAAUUAAUUCCUAUUAGUUAUGUCGGUGUGUGGACUCAGGGUCCAAGCACUAAAAAGUAAUAAGUCUGCGUGUCCUCCUAAACCCGAAUGUUGAUGCAAGGGAACACAGGGGAUUUAUACUGGUUCGGGCUUCAAAUGCCCUACGUCCAGUGAGGGGAUCGGAGUUUGUAUUGCCUUGCACCUGAGAGUGCUUGUAGUAGGGGUGUACAAGCUGGUUGCGAGAGAGGGCUAAGUCCCAAGUCGGGACUUUAGGGAGUAAAUGGAGGGGAGUGCACUACUUGGGUGAAGAGUGUUGUUUGUGAUCUGUGUGUGUUGCCGUGUCUUUGAUAGGUGCCCUGCCUCCCCUUUUAUAGCCGCAAGGGGUAGCAGGGUUUUUAUAUGUGUAAGUUUGUGAAUUAUCUCUGGUGAGUGUAGUAGUGACGGUGCAGGUCCUGUGGAGAUCGGCCACUUCGUCCUUUGGGUAUGGCUUGACGGCGUGGUCACUCCUAUGGAGGGUCGUUGAGCCCUGUUGAUGUUGUGGUGGUCGGGUCGGUUAUACUGCAGCGUGUCCUGCAAUAGUAAGGUAAUGUUAGUCUAGAUGUGGUCAUAGUGGCAGGGGUUAACCCUCCCCAUACCUCCUUUUAUUGUAAGGCAAUGCCCCACAGUGAAAGAGGUAAGGUUCCACAGUGACUCGAGUUGUUGAAAUAGUAGCCGGCAUGCCCUGCUGCAGCGUGGGAGGCACGGUGCACGUCACAUCGGAGGUACGACCAUCGUGUGCUGGUAGCCUGGCUCCAAGGCCGAGGCUCGAGUGAAGCACAGAUUGCGCUCGAUGCUGAGGUUUUGGUAAAGGCGAAGAUCUCGUCCGAGACUCAGGGCUCGGGCGAGACGGAGCUUGCGUUUGAGGCUAGGGGGUCAGGCGAGAUGGAGCUUGCAUCUGAGCCCAGGCGGUCGGGCGAGACGGAGCUUACGCCCGGGCCGAGGGGGGUCGGGCGUGAUGGAGCUUGCGCUCGAGCCUGAAGGGGUCGGGCGCUCGUCCUACUUCUUUUUGCCGCUUUUUGUCCCCUUAGUCUGGGUAUCCCUUUUUACGGUACCCAACAGUAGCCCCCGAGCCUAUGGAGCAGCUGGAAUGCUCCUCCAGAGGUUCCUUCUAAGAGUUGAUGGUUGGAUUAAGGCUUUUAUUUCCUCCGGAGGGUGCGCGCGAGCGCACCCGCCGGGUGUAGCCCCCGAGCCUUUGGAGGAAUGGUGGCAUUCCUUCAAAGGCUUUUACACCUUGAUGUCAUUGUAGGGAGUUUUUUUCGGGGAUAGGGUACAUGUUCUUUACAUGCAGGGCCUAUUACCCCGCGCGGGUGAAGCCCCCAAGCCCUUUUCCCUUAAGGGUCGAUCAGGGUCUUUCUCGACUUGAUUUUACGCCCCUCAUUCAUCCUUUCGCUAGGAGGAGGGAUGGGUGGCAUCGUACUAUCCUCGGUGGGUGAGUAUCGACGUUCCUAGGGAGUUGCUAGCAGGUAGAUCCAAGUGGAUGUCCGAGACCCGUUCGAUAGGGGUCGGCUUGUGGCCCUAUGGGCACAUCUCAAAAUACCCAAGGGCAGUUACGGUGGAUGUCGGAACCAUCCGAUAGGUUCUGAGGGCUCGAUGCCUCCCUCGAUGGGAUCCCACUCGUGCAACACCUGCAUGGGUCUUGGAUACGACUAGUAAGAUGCGCCGAGCCUCUGUGGGGCUCAGACCAUGGGCCUCUAUCGUGCUCACCCUCAGUCAUCCUUUGCUCUGUUAUCCUAAGGCGAAUGUUCGAACCCACUUGGUGGGUCAGUCUCGCAACCUCUGGAAUGUAAGUCGCCGUGGCCUGGGGAUUUUUACCUUAGGAGGUGUCGGCUCGGUCGUGGCAGGGGGGUCGAGUGCCGCUUGCCCUGGAAGGAACCACCCUGACUCGACCUUUAGGGCGCUCCUUUUGAGACAACCCAUAUUGAGAGCCGGAACGACCAUGCCAUUGCGCCUGAGUUAGACAAGACAUUCUGCCUACGAAUUUAAUGCGCGUGUGGGCGUGGUUGGCGUGAGAAUCGGAAAAGGAUGGAUGCUUUGGUUACCUCACCUAGUUAAUGAGGCGGCCGGCGGUUCCUCUUUCCUUCCCUAAUCUGCUGCGUGGGAGACGGACUGCAGUACGCUUUUUCUAUAAAAGCCACCGCGAGGGUCUUUGGUUUUUCCUCUACUUGCCUCUGCCUCCGAACAAUCUUGCCCCCAAGCCCCCUGCUACCGCCUUAUUGACACCACCGUGCUAAUGCAAGCACCCAUCUCCACCUGCAGCCAUGGCCGGCGACGACAUGUGGCACCCAUGCAAUGUCACCGAGGCAACGCUGGAGGCCUGUGUGAAGGGUGGACUUCUCCGUCCUAUCAUGGAUGAGGGGAUGCCGGAGUGGAUCAUGCCCCCGGUGAACGACAGGGAGCCAAACCCGCCUCUAGGCUAUGUGGUUUCCUUCCUGACUUUCCUAGACCGAGGGUUCGGGAUUCUGGCCUACCGAUUCAUGUGGGCUCUUGCGCACUACUAUGAAGUAGAGCUGCACAAUUUCAACCUGAAUUCGAUCAUGCAGGCGGCUGUCUUCGCCAUGGUGUGCGAGGGGUACUUGGGGAUUCCUCCCCAUUGGUACCUCUAGCUCCACCUAUUCAAGGUGGAGAUGUCUUCCUGCAACGAGGGCAGGGAGAAGAGGCCCUUAAGGGCCGGCGACUGCACGCUCCAACGCAUACAUCUAAAGCAUCAUGCCGUCGUCGAACCGGGGGUGGCAGAACGGGUGGUUCUACCUCCAGAACGACCACGACCUUCUUCCGGAGUACACCGGGAAGAUGGUGCUCGAGUGCCUCGCAAAAUGGGGGUGGGGUGCUCCCGCAUCGGAGCAGAAAAGGCUGGACCCCCUUCUCGAGGCCCUCGUGAAGCUUUGGCACGUGGGGGUCACUGCGGCCACGGUGGCGGUCGCCUUCCACAAGCGAAGUCUCCUGCCGCUGGCGCAGCAGGUGGUGCACAUGUGGGAGAUGACUCGUGACACUCCUUGGGCCGGGACGCGGAUGCUGGAGGCGCCAGUGUCUCCUACAGAGAUCGACACCCAAGUCUUGAGGACGAUAUCCUCGGAGUUGAAGAACUAUCGGGUGGUGCCGAUGUGUCCCAACAGGGACUACAUCUCUCUGGUAAGGCACCUCCAUCUUUGUUCCCGCUUCAUCGUCCCCUUAUUCGUUCCGACCUUUAUUUAGUCUGUCAUUUGCUCGUAGGGAAUGGGCAUUGUCAGGUAUGCCCUGCCCCUGGUCCUGGAAGAUCAAGAGAUCCGGGCCUAGAACCGGUCCAUGAAUGAAGAGCAACAGCGCUAGAAGAAUGAGAAGAAGAAGAAGAAGGCAAAGAAGGCAAAGACAGCAGACGCCUCUGCCAAGCGCCGCCGCGAGGCCGAGAAGGCGGGGCUCCACGAGCUCGAAUCUUCCGAGGCCUCAGUCUAGGAGGUUGAGGGCAGGGAAGACUCACACUGGCUGAAUGAACUCCUCGAUGAGGAGGAGGAGGAUGAAGAGGUCCUCCAGUCGAUGAGGGGACAGAGGCCCCAGGAGGGUCAUAGGUUCUAGGGGGUGCAGAGGGCACCCCCUACAUCAUCAUCGACGAUGGAGGGGAUGAAGCCCCUUGAGGGGGAUCGGUUCCACCGGAUCCCCAAGAAGGGGAGAUGGCGUCGGGCGGAGAGCCUGAGGUGCCCAUGGUGUCAAAGGGCGCAACCGAACCUCGUCCAAAGACGGAGGCAGAGGUGGAGGGCUCAGCGGAGGCGCCAAAGGCCGGAACAGCCGUCGGGGCCCUCGCGACUCCAGGAGCGGUGAUGAGUGUCCGCCCGACCACCCGCGGCGCCCAAGGAGCGCCAAGCUCCUAGAAGAGCGCUGCGCCCCGGGCAAGGUAUGUGCUUGUUCUUGAUUUCUCUUUAAUUUUUGUUUUUCUCUUUCUUCUUAUCUUUGUCCUCCUUCUGCCAGCCGGAAGUAGAAGAUGGCAUCGGUGGGGCUGGUGCCCCUGAAAGCCGUUAAGAGGGGGGCACAAUCGACCCCUAGGUCGGCAAGGCCUAGGUCGCCGCCCCCCUUGAAUCGAAAAUAAAGAGAACCCCCAAGAGGGGAUGGGGGAGGAGUCGAGGGAGAAGACGUCGUACCCCCAGACGAAGGAGGUGGAUGCGCCAAGGUCCCAAGAGCCGGAGGAGACGAUCCUGGCUCUUGGGGCCGUUCCCCCAUCUGGAGAUGUCGACCUAGGGGGCGCGUCCAGGCCUAGGCAGACCGAGGGGAGACAUGCCGAGAUGGCCCUUAGCACGGUGCCCCCAGCAAGGCCCCAUGGAAAUGGCCUGGCCCAACCAGAGGCCCCCGCGAGAGAAGGAGGGGACGUCACGCCCUGGGGCAAGGCCCUUGUGAUCUGGCCCGACCUCGAAGAUCCCGAGGGGAGGGCCAGGUUUGUCCUGGAUGACCCGUCAGAGGCUUACCUCUGGCAAGGUCUUGAGGAAUGCGGGCGCGCUAAUGUCAAGGCGAUCAAUCGAGUCCGAGCUCGUGAGUUGAGACAUGUACAAGCUUGCCUAGGUAAGAUCACCUCCCCUUUUUCCGAGGCGUAUUUUAUUUAUAUCUUUCCAUUGAUCUUAUGUGUGGUACUCUAUCUUGUAGGCGCUCAAGGCUCUGGCAGAAGUGCUCUGGGCUUGAGACCAAGGCUCAGGAAGCUUGGGAAAAGGUCGCCCCUCUGGAGAAGAGGGUUAGCGACCUUGUCUUGGAAUCUCAAGAGCGGAACACUGCCACCGAGAGAUACAAGGGCGAAGUCACACAGGUGGAGACCUUGCUCACCCAGAGGGACCUUGCCCUUAACCAGGCCCGGGACGAACUUACCGAGGCUCAAGGCUAGGUGUCUCUUUGGCAGGGGCGUGUAGAAGAGAAUCAGAAGCGGGCUGAAGGUAAAAGUCGUAACCUUACCUUUGUUAUUGGUGUAUAGGUUCUAUUGCUUACUUUUUCCUUUUUUUACCGCAGAGCUGGAGAGGAAGGUGGUCGAGGCAUCUUCUGUGACGGACGCCCUGAAGAAGUCUCUCGAUGCCGAGGUCUCGGAAUGUUCAGCAUUGGAAGCUGUGGUCACCUCGGCUUGCGAGGGACUUGGGGUAAGGCAGACGCAUCAGGGUCCUCUCUACGGGGUCGCAUCGAGACUUUGUACUCCUAGGACGGGGAGAGGCAGGCGCAUCGGGGUCCUCUCUGUGGGGCCGUGUCAUGCUGGGGUGAAGAAAGCCCUGGCCAUGGUGAGCUCUCACUACGUUGGCAUUGACUUGUCGGCGGUCAGUGAGGGGUACGUCGUUCCCGACGAUGAGGCGGAGGCCUAGGAGGAAGUGUAGAAACUCGCCGACGCUGCGGAGGCACCAGGAGAUGCCCUGGCCACCUUCUUUGACGCCAAAGUGGAGCUUCCCCCCCUCGGUGUGCAGGAUGCUAGACAGUCAGGGAAAUGAGGCCCUUGUAUUAGUUAGUUUAUUUUGUGAACAUCAGAGGCCAAUGGGCUCCCACUUUUGUAAACUUAAUUUUUAUAUGAAUGUUUUCUUUUUAGAAAUUCCUUGUGUUUCUCUUUUUCCCUAGGGCUGACCCAGCCUCGGCAGCGUGAGGUUGGGUGAGCCACCGAAGGUCAGAGCUUUUUAGUGGGGCGUCCCAAGCCUAAGUCCCUUUCCCUUUCUUAGUGUUCUAAAAUCCGGGCAGACUUAUCUCCUGGUCCUAAGGAGUGAGAAGAAAGUGUCCUAGCCCGUGGGUGUGGAUCUACUUCCAAGCUCGUUCCUCUUAAGACUUAGGUGAUUAAUUUGCGGUUCUUAGUCUCUUUAAGAAAGAGAAAAAGAUCUUGGGUUGGGGAGUUCCAAAUUAAGCGAAAAAUUUAGGGUCAUCACAGGGGGUUCCCCCCGUGUAGCCCCCUAGGGAGGUUCGGACUCUGCAGGGCAGAGCCGAGGCUCACUCUCUAAAAAGAAACAGACAUAUAAUUUAUAUCUUUUAUUAUUUCUCCAAGGUAAAGUUGUUGAUGCAAAAGAUGAUCUGCAAACACAAAGGGCUAAUACCCGAUUCAAACGUUAAGGCGUGCCAGCCGAUUUGACCUUACUAUCGGCAAAGGUGAUAACUUGAAUACUUUGGUCCCGACAACAGCGAUGCGCCCAGAUGCCACGGCCAAGAGGUAUUCACGCGGAACUUGAGAAUACGCCGAGCUUAAGUCGAUGAACUCCGAAGAACUCGUAAUGAAAAGGAAAAAUAUGACGAAGUCGUCGAAAAGUAAGUACUGGAAUAUGAAUAAAAGCUUGUGUUUGAUUGAUUGAUAGAUUCAUGUCUUACAAGGCCCUUGGGUCUACAUUUAUACCCUGCUCAAAAGAGAUACAACCUGAUACGACUAGAACUCGAAUUCCAAAUUAAAUAGAAUCCGUAUACAAAACGAUUUAAAUAACUAAGGAAAAACAUAAAACUAUCCCCCCGUGACAACCUGGGACGCCACCUAGACCAAUCGGCAACCUUCAAGUCUUCCUUCCGCGUUAUCGGCAGACUCUCCAUCGUAGCCAUCGGCAAAGGUUAAUGCUAGCUAUCGGCAUAAACACAUCACCACCCAUGGACUUAGCCACAUCCAGCUGUCUCCUCAUCGGCAACCACCCUCAUCGGCAACUCUUCUGCAGACCAGUUACCAUUGCCCUAUCUUGCCGAUCUACACUCUACCGAUCCUGGGCACGUGUCCAAAAAUGGUGUCAACAAAAGUACAAGUGAUUUCUUUUACAAAAUUUUAAGGAUACAAGCGACGUAGCUAUUCUAUGUUCCAUGCGUUGUUGUAGACCUCUCCUUCCUCGUUGGCGAGCCUAUAUGUGCUGGGUCGGAGGACUUCGGCGAUGACGAAGGGUCCUUCCUAGGGAGGCAUGAGCUUGUGGCAGCCCUUGUUGCUUUGCCUGAGCCUCAGCACCAAGUCGCCGACUUGGAAGGCUCGGCCUCGGACUUGUCGAGCAUGGUAGCAUCGGAGGGCCUGCUGGUACUUGGCAGAAUGUAGGAGGGCUACAUCCCUGGCUUCGUCCAGCUAGUCCAGCGCAUCCUCUAGGAACGUCUUGUAGCUAUUCUGGUCAUAAGCUUGUACCCUUGGAGACCUGUACUCUAGGUCUAUGGGCAGUACAGCCUCAGACCCAUAGACCAUGAAGAACAGGGUGAAACCUGUGGCUCAGCUUCGAGAAGUCGUUAGACUCCACAUCACAGCCGGUAGCACUUUGAGCCACCUCUUUCUGAACUUGUUCAGCCGAUUAAAAAUUCUGGGCUUCAGUCCUUGGAGGAUCAUGCCAUUGGCACGUUCUACCUGACCAUUGGUCUUUGGAUGAGCCACUGCUGCCCAGUCCACACGUAUGUGGUGUCUAUCAAAGAAAUCUAGGAAUUUUCGCCCGGUGAACUGUGUGCCGUUAUCUGUGAUAAUGGAGUUGGGCACUCCAAAUCGGUGGAUAAUAUCUGUGAAGAACAACACUGCUUGUUUGGCCUUGAUUCUUGUGAUGGGUCGGACCUCAAUCCACUUGGAAAACUUGUCGAUCGCGACAAGCAUGUGGGUGAAGCCCUCAGGCGCUUUCUGUAGAGGCCCGACGAGGUCGAGGCCCCAGACAGCAAAGGGCCAUGUGAUGGGGAUCAUCUAUAGAGCCCGAGCCGGGAGGUGGAUCUGCCGAGCGUAGAACUGGCAUCCCUUACAGGUUCGAACGAUUUGAGUGGCGUCUGCCACAGCUGUGGGCCAGUACAAACCUUGUCGGAAGGCAUUUCCUACAAGCGUUCAAGGCACCGCAUGGUGGUCGCAAGCCCCCGAGUGUAUCUCCUGAAGGAGUUUUAUCCCUUCGUGACGGGUGAUGCAGCGCAUGAGAACGCCCGAGGGGCUACGCUUGAACAUCUCGCCAUCGAGAAGUACAAAAGCCUUGGCAUGACGAGCUACUCGCCGCGCCUCGGCUUGGUAUGGAGGUAGAGUGACAUCGACGAGGCGUUGCAGGAGAGGAUAACGCUAGGAGUUUUAUCUCUUCCUGACUGGUGAUGCAGCACAUGAGAACGCCCGAGGGGCUGCGCUUGUACAUCUCGCCAUCGAGAAGUACAAAAGCCUUGGCACGACGAGCUACUCGCCGCGCCUCGGCUUGGUCUGGAGGUAGAGUGCCAUCAACGAGGCAUUGCAGGAGACGAUAACGCCAAUCCAGCAAGUCAUCUGGGGCGGGUGCCUCGGACUCAAUGUCCAUAGCCUCUGGCUCGGGAGUCGCGGAGGGCUCGGAAUUCAGACCUGGGUCGGUCGAGGAACGAUCCGAGCCUCCACCUUCUUUGUAGUCAACGGAGGCCUUGUAGAGGUCACUGACAAAGACAUCCAGGGGGACUGUAGCCUCCUUGGAUGCCAUUUUUGCAAGUGCAUUGGCGGCCUCAUUGUAUUUUCUCAACACGUGGUUAAGCUCGAGGCUGUCGAAUUUUUCCUGCAGGCGCAGGACCGUCUUGUAGUACGCGUCCAUCUUGGGAUCAUGGCAACAAGACUCCUUCAUGACCUGGUCAAUGAUGAGCCUAGAGUCACCUCGGACAUCGAGCCGCUUGAUCCCAAGCUUGAUCACAAUGUGGAGACCAUUGAAAAGGGCCUCAUACUCCGCCACGUUAUUUGAGGCGGGGAAGUGGAGUCGGAUCGCGUAUCGCAUCCUUCCUCCGAGGGGUGAGAUGAAGACGAGGCCUGCGCCAGCCUCGGUUUUCAUCAGAGAACCGUCGAAGUACAAGGUCCAACACUCGGAUUGGAUCUCGGGUGGAGGGAGCUGAGUUCCCAUCCACUCAGCCACGAAAUCGGCCAAAACUUGGGAUUUUAUAGCCUUCCGAGGCUCGUAGGUGAUUCCGUCACCCAUGAGUUCUAUAGCCCACUUAGCAAUUCUGCCAUUAGCCUCUCGGUUUUGGAUCACCUCUCCUAAAGGAAAAGAUGAGACCACCUAGAUGGGAUGAGACUCAAAGUAAUGGCGGAGCUUGCGUCGAGCUAGGACUACCGUAUAGAGUAGUUUUUGAAUUUGGGGAUAUCGGGUCUUAGUGUCGGAGAGUACUUCGCUGACGAAGUACACCGGUCUUUGGACUGGUAGGGCAUGCCCCUCUUCCUCUCGACCAUGAUAGCUGCACUGGCCAAUUGGUCAGUGGCUGCAACAUAAAGGAGGAGUGGUUCCCCUUCGGUGGGGGGCACCAAGAUGGGAGGGUUGGUGAGCAAAGCCUUGAGUCUGUCAAUGGCUUCCUAGGCCUCGGUGGUCCUGAAAAAGUGCUCAGAUUUUCUAAAUAACCUAUACAGAGGCAACCCUUUCUCCCUGAGGUGGGAGAUGAAACGGCUAAGGGACGCAAGGCAUCCCAUGACUCUCUGUACCCCUUUUAGGUUACAGAUUGGGCCCAUGUUAGCUAUGGCUGAGACCUUCUCUGGGUUGGCCUUGAUCCCCCGCUCAGAGACAACGAACCGAGGAGCAUGCCUCGGGGGACCCCAAAAAUGCAUUUCUCGGGGUUCGGUCUGAUUCCCUCAGCCCUGAGGCACCGGAAUGUUUCAUCUAGGUUCACCAUAAGGCCGCUUGUCUUCCUAGAUUUGACCAAGAUGUCAUCUACGUAAGCCUCUACUGUUUUGCCUAUGAGGUCUCCGAAGACCUGGAGCAUACAUCGUUGGUAUGUAGCCCCCGCGUUCUUAAGGCCGAACGGCAUGGUGACGUAGCAAAACAUUCCAAAAGGGGUGAUGAAAGAGGUUGCGAGCUGGUCGGACUCUUUCAUCUUGAUUUGGCGGUACCCGGAGUAUGCAUCAAGAAAAGACAAAGUUUCACAUCUCGCCGUAGAGUCAACUAUUUGGUCAAUACGAGGCAAUGGAAAAGGAUUCUUAGGACAUGCUUUAUUUAUACUAGUAUAGUCUACACACAUCCUCCAUUUCCCAUUUUUCUUUUUGACUAAGCGUUAGCUAACCACUUGGGAUGGAAUACCUCCUUGAUGGACCCAGCCGCCAGCAGCUUCUGGAUCUCCUCCCUAAUGGCCCGAUGCUUUUCCUCGUCGAAUCGGCGUAGGCGCUGCUUCAUGGGCUUGGAGCUGGCUCGGAUGUCGAAGGAGUGCUCGCCGACUUCCCCCGGUAUGCCUGGCAUGUCCGAGGGACUCCACACAAAUACGUCAGCGUUUGCGCAGAGAAAGUCGACGAGCACUGCUUCCUAUUUGGGGUCGAGGCUCGAGCUGAUCCUCAAUGCCUUGCCUUUGAAGGCCUUGGGGUCGAGGAAGAUGAGCUUGGUCUCCUCCACCGACUCGAAGCUCCCGGCAUGAUGUUUGGGGUCAGGGAUGUCCUGAUCGACGUCGUCGAGGAUGGUGAUGAUGGAUAGUGACUCGGCUAGAGCCUCGGCCUACUCAAUGCACUCUACGUCGCAUUGGUAGGCAUGCUAGCUUGUCGUGCUGAUGGUGAUGAUGCCAUUUGGGCCUGGCAUCUUGAGCUUGAGGUAGGUGUAGUUGAGGAUGGCUAUGAACUUGGCGUAGCAUGGUCUCCCCAGAAUCACGUGGUAGAUCCCGUGGAACCCGACCACGUCAAAAGUAAGGACCUGCCGCCUGAAGUUGUCGGGAGUCCCAAAGCAGAUGGGCAGAUCGAUCUGCCAGAGAGGAUGGGCUCGGUGCCCUGGCGCCACUCCAAGGAAUGGCAAUGCAUCAUUGCUUAGCCGAGACUUAUUGAUCCCCAUGAGGGCUAUGGUCUCGGCGUAAAGAAUAUUGUGGCUGCUGCCUCCGUCCAUCAACACCUUGGAGAGGCAGGUCUCGGUGAUGAUGGGGUCGACGAUGAGUGGAUAACUCCUGGGAUUCAGGAUCCGAUCCGGGUGAUCCUGUCGAUCGAAAGUGAUGGCGCUCUCCGACCACUUGAGGCAUGAGGGCGCGGUUGUGCUAACCGUGCAGACCUCUCGGAGCUCGCGCUUCCUUUGACUCGUGGUGAGGUGAGCCGCGUGUCCCCCAAAGAUCAAGAGGCAGUUCUUGACUUUGGGGAAGCCUUCCCCUUCGUCGUCGUUGUCCUUGGGGGGGCUCUUCUGCGUCUUCUUUGGUCGUAAUGCCGGUGUAGUAUCGACGCAGGACGGUGCACUCCUCGAGGGUGUGUUUGCUGGGACCCCUAUGAUAGGGGUAUGGCUUCUUCAACAUUUCGUUGAAGAGCCCGGGGCCAGCAAGAGCCCGCUUCGGGUUCUUGCGAUCUGCCGCGGCGACCAAGUUGUCGUCGGACUGACCCUGCUUCCCCUUGCGACCCUUUUUCUUCUUCUUAGGGUCUUGGGAGCCUGAGGCAUCAGUGGCCUCGGCCUUCUGCUUCCCCUUGGUGUUGCCGUCAGAGAAGAUCGCACCAACUACCUCUUCACCCGAGGCGAAGUUGGUGGCAAUAUCGAGCAGCUGGCUAGUGCUCGUGGGGGUCUUGCGCCCGAGCUCGUGUACCAGCUCCUUACAGGUGGUGCCAGCGAUGAAGGCUCCAAUGACGUCGGAGUCCGUGAUGUUAGGGAGCUCGGUGCACUGCUUGGAGAAUCACCAGAUGAAAUCUCGAAGAGAUUCAUUAGGCUUCUACCGAUAGCUCCUGAGAUCCCAUGAGUUCCCAGGGUGCACAUAUGUGCCCUGGAAGUUCCCGACAAAGAUCUUACCAGGUUGGCCCAGUCGUGGAUCAGACGCUCAGGAAGGUGCUCGAGCCACGCCCUGGCUGAAUCUGCCAGGUGUAGUGGCAGCUUGUAGAUGAUGAGCAGAUCAUCCUCCGCUCUGCCUAACUAGCAUGCUAGGAACUAGUCCGCUAGCCAGAGCUCAAGGUUUGUCUCCCCUGAGUACUUGGUGAGGUUUGCUGGCUGUUGGAACCAGGCUUGGAAUUUGGCCCUGCGGAUGGCCUCGCUGAAAACGCAGGGCCCUGGAGGCUCAGGCGAUGUGCUGCGGUCGUGCUCGGGGUCAUACCUUCCGCCUCAGCACAGACGGUAGCGUUGAGACUCGGCCUCGUCCCUGUCACGACGUCUGGCCUCAAGGGUGGCCCGGGCAUCCACAUUGGUCCCCAUGCCCUCAUGGACGGAUGGGGCCUUAGCGCCCCCUUGCGGGUUAGGGGGCACCAGGCCUUGCACGGUUGGUGCCUUGUUGGGAGGGGGUUGAUCCCCGAGGCGUCUUGCCCUUGAGUCGUGGGACUGUGAUGUAGAGCUUUCCGCAUUUUGUACCACGGCUUGGUCCAGGAGGCCAUGAAGCCCCUGGCGCACCCUUCUUCCCUCAGGAGUCGAUGGCUCAGGCAUCGCUCAGAGGAGUAGCGCAGCAGCCAUUACGUUUUGGCCACAUCCCCGUCCCCCCGAGUGGACUGGUCUCGCUCUAGGGUCUCGCGCAACUGUCGGAGACGCACACGUUCCUCUUCGAGCCUGGCCUCCAGCUCAUUGUGCUGCUCGAGGUGAGGUCGACAAACCUCUGCUAGAGCUGACGCGGCUUUGUGUGCUCCAGGGUGACUUCUAGGGUGUCGGUGCAAAAGUAAAUCUGCAAACACAAAGGGCUAAUACCCGAUUCAAACGUUAAGGCGUGCCAGCCGAUUUGACCUUACUAUCGGCAAAGGUGAUAACUUGAAUACUUUGGUCCCGACAACAGCGAUGCGCCCGGAUGUCACGGCCAAGAGGUAUUCACGCGGAACUCGAGAAUACGCCGAGCUUAAGUCGACGAACUCCUAAGAACUCGUAAUGAAAAGGAAAAUAUGACGAAGUCGUCGAAAAAGUAGAUGCUAGAAUAUGAGUAAAAACUUGUGUUUGAUUGAUUGAUAGAUAUCUCGAUUACAAGGCCCUAGGGUCUACAUUUAUACCCUGCUCAAAGAGCUACAAUCAAACAUGACUAGGACUCGAAUUCCAAAUUGAACGGAAUCCAUAUACAAAACGAAUUUAAAUAUCUAUGGAAAACAUAAAACUAUCCUCCCGUGACAAACCGGGACACCACUGUAGAUCAAUCGGCAACCCUCACGUUCUCCUUCCGAGUCAUCAGUAGACUUCUCAUCAUAGCCAUCGGCAAAGACUAACGCUGACUAUCGGCACGAACGCGUCACCACUUCUGGACUUAGUCACAUUCAGCUGUCUCUUCAUCGGCAACCACCCUCAUCGGCAACUCCCCUGCAGACCAGUUACUGUUGCCCCAUCUUGUCGAUCUAUACUUUACCGAUCCCUGGGUACGUGUCCAAAAAUGGUGUCAACACAUGCCCCCCAAUUUCGGAGUAUGAAAUCAUUAAUGCUCCAAAAUUCUCUGCAAUAAUGAUGCCUUUCCGCAAUUAAUUCCCCCAAUUUGGUAACCGACCGUUUAAAUCUGAACAACCUUGGCCCGAUUAUCCUGCAGGUUCCUCGAAUUCCUCAACCUUCCGAAACGGAUCUCUCCACUUCAUGCACCCAUUGGCAAUAUUACCGUUAGGAGGAACUGCCGAUGGACUGACCAAGAAAUCUUGCACAGUGGAAUAUCUCCAGAUCAAGACUGCUUCCUAUCAAAUCACCUGCGCAAUCCCUUGAUUAUCGUGCGAACAGUUACCAUAUCCACCUGAGUAUCCUCGGAUUUCAUGGAUAUGGCGAAGAGUCCAAUUUGCCCUUGCCCGUUUUGUCCUAUAAAUACUUCCUUCUCGGGUACUCCUUCUCCAUCACAUCAUUCUACAGCCCCAACUCUGCUUUCCUGGUGGCGGCACUAUUCGAGAGCUCCAAGAACUCCAACAAGAACUUCCUCCAACUACUCCCAAGUUUUCGAUCUUCUCCCCUGCGAGGAGAUGGCCAUCAACUUCGUCGUUCCUGAGAUCAGCGUACUACCCUUUUUUUGUACUUUUACUGUAUCCCAGUUCAUCCGCAAUCUUCCUUACCGAAUCCUUUUUUCUUUUUGUUCUCCUUUCGUUCCCAAAAAUUUCUAGGAUUUGGCUAACAAGAUCGUUAUUCCUACCGAUCAACCCCAUCUCCAAUGCCUUGGUCUACUAGGGAACUUGGAUCCCACCGAUCCUAUAAACGCAGAGACAAACAGAAUCCCUUUUAGAGCCGAGAAUUUUUCUCUAGAUCUAUGGAAAGACGCCUUCCGUUCCUGGCCCUGUCCUACCAAGGGAUGGAAGGAUUGGUUUCUGAGAGUCAGUAAUUCAAAUGAAGUCCAAUGGGGUGAACGGAAAUUAGAUCAGUGCAUUAGACUGUCUCUUGCCGAUAUGGAGAGAAAUGAGUCGCUACUGAUAGCUGCCUCAUACUUCUGGUCAGAUACACUUAAUGCUUUCGUGUUUGGCCAUGGCCCUGCUUCCCCUACACUUGCCGAUGUUCUCAUGCUCACCGGUUUAGACAUAUCCACUGCCGAUACCACCCACCUGUUCGACACCAAACCCAGUGCUAAGGUAGAAACCCGUGCUAUCGGUGGUUGGUCAGGGUAUAUUUAGAAGUACCGCCGAACAGGACCUGUCAAUAUAAAGGAAUAGACCACCUUCCUGAACAUGUGGUUAGAUAAGUUUGUAUUCUGUGGUCGAUCGGCAGGACCAACUUCACCUAUCGGCAGCAGAAAGGCUAGCUAAUGGUGGCCGAUUUCCUCUUGGCCGAUACCUGCUCGGCUCUGCUUAUCACCUCCUCCAUCAAGUAGCUCACAAACUACUGCUUGGUCAAUCCAUCGGCAACUUAGGGGGUCCCUGGUGGUUCAUUAAUAUGUGGCUUAGUCUUCACAUGCACAAGCGCCUUGAGUUUGACCUCUUUGCUCAGCGCUUCCCUAGAGAUAUAGCUGAAGAUUAUGAACUGGAUGAGGAAGAAUCGGCAACUCGUUCCCCUCUGAACUUUGGCAAAGCCGUCAUAGUUUUGCCUGGCACAGGCGGCAACGCAGACCAGGUCAGCCGAUUCUUCCAAACUCUGUAUGAGGGUUUGACCAGGGAACAGCGGGCAUGGAUGCCUUAUGAAGACCCAGACACCAGAUUCCCUCUGACUUUCCACCUCUUCAAUGAUGCUCUCAACAAGGAUCGUGAGGUGAUGAUGGCAAUUAUCACCCCAGAGCUAUACCGGUGAACUUCUUUGGCAGUGGGAAAACUUCUAACCUGACUUAUGAGUUCUACAAUCCAUCGGCAUUAGCUCGUCAACUAGCUUUCGGCCAACUGCCGAUUGUACUUUGCUACGCCGAUGUGAUAAAACCGAGAGAGAUUAUCACCAGCCAUCUGGAAUGGAUCAGGGUAGCCCAACUUCCACCAAACGCCGAUACAGAUGUUGAUCUAUCGGCUUGAAUCCCAGCUCUCUUCAUCACUCAGGCAUACAAACAGUGGUGGGAAGAAUAGAAAGAGCACCUGUUCUACAGAUCGGCUCUUACAUACUGUGGCAUGAUCGACCCUCCAUACAAAGUCCUCGAUACCACUGUAAGUACUUCCGAACCGAUGUUUCAAUCCUUUCAUUUUCACUUUCUAUCGGUAUCUUACUUCCUUGUUAUAUGCAGGUCGAUGACACACCCCCAUUGGUCAGCAGGAGUGGCAAGCCGAUUGAGCUCCUUCCAUCAGGCCCGAUCUCUUUGAUCGGCAACAAUGCUCCAACUCUAGCUGCUAUAAUGCAUCGGGGUGUGCGCCUCAAGAAGGUCACCACCAAACGAAUGAGAACAUCCCCAUCGGUAGCUGCUACUGCCCUGGCACAAGCCUUCAAGGUACAUUCUCUAAUUCUUUAUUCAUACCGAUCUCAUUCUUAUACAUAUCACACUUGUACUCAUAAACUUCUUAUCGUUGUAUCAGCACACCAGUACAUCGGCAAAGACCAGAAGUACGACUGCCGAUGCCCCCCAGUCUAGUCAACCGAAAAGAAAGGGUUCCAAGAUUACCAGAUCACAAGCAAAGCGUCAGAGAACAGCAACGCCUUCUCCUCCCCCAGUAUCUCCAAUCCCAGUAGAAUCAUCUCCCUCUUCUCCAGAAAUCCAAACACAGCAGAUUCCAUCUCCUCCUCAGUCACAAGAAGAACCCCAAGUGGAAGAGCUCCAGCCAGAGGUACCUCAGCCAGAAGAGAUACCGGCUGAUGUACACGAGCAGACCACCGAUCCAGCAAGCCUAAUCAUAGCAUCGGUAGUCUCCUCGAUCCAGACAAGCACUGCACCUCCUCAAGGUAAUAUACUUUCUAUUUACUGCCGAUGAACCUAUUUUCCCACUUUACUAAUCACUUCUGUCAAUCUUUCAGCUAACAUAGUUUCAUCGGCAAUCCCAGCCGAUCAGCCCGUGGUUCCAUCGGCGUCAUCCAGUCAGAGGCGAGAGAUGGCCCUGAAACAAGUAAGUUACCCAAUCUCUAUCUGUAUUAUUUAUCAGUACUUGAUCAUAGAAUAACUUAUUUUAUUUUCCUUUUCAGGAACAGGACUCUCCUGACAGCUUGUUCUCCUUUGCCAUCGACAUCUCUGAGGAUGAAGGCGAGGAGGCAAGUUCUUCUCGAGCUAUUGGAAUCUCAUCGGCAGAAAUCAGAGCAAAGUUAGAAGAAUUGUCGGCCCUUCUUCAUCAAGACACGGCCCAAUUGGUCGACGAUUCCGAUUCAGCCAAGGCCUUGUUCAAGACUCUCAGAGGCCAAAUUCCUGCCGAUGCCGAGGAGAUCCUCUUCAAGGAUGCUCACUUAGAAAGUCGGCAGCUUCAAUAUCAAUAGGCCGCUCAACGCCUUGCCGAUAGGGCUAAUCAUGCUCAGCUAUCAGAAGAGAUGAUAAAAGUGAAGCUCCUUGCCGAUGAAAAGCACAAGAACAUCGGCAUCUUGAAAUCCUCGGGGGAUGUAUUGAAGCACAAGAUUUCUGAGCUAUCGGCAAAGAGAGAGGCCCUAUUGACAGAACUCAAGCAGGUAGAAGAAAGCCAGCUUCCUGAAGCGAUCAAGCUUCUUGAACAAGAGCGAAAUGUCGAAGCUCGCAAAGCACUGCAGAUGAAGAAGAAGCUGAAGCCAGUGGAGGGCUCUACCGAUGACGACAUGAAGGAGAUAGAAGAAGCCAACCAGAUCCGUCUGCGCGCCAUAUCGACGAUCCAGGCUUUGUUAAACAUGUGAAUUCUUCAUCGGCGGCACAUUUGCUCUUUUCUUUUAAACACUCCUAAUAUUUUGGUCUAGCCGAUAGGACUGUUAUCGGCACCUUUUAAAACAUUAGGUCCGGCCCUAGAUACACUUUUGAUUCAGCCGAUAGGAAUGUUAUCGGCACUUAAACUUUCAUGCAUCAAGCCAUAUGCUGGGGUAAUAUCUCUUUAAAUAUUUGCCGUUCAAUGCCCUAGGAAAUUCAACUCCUUCGAGAGUUUCUAAGAUAUAGGUGUUGCCAGGAGCAGAUCGAUUUAUACGAUAGGGACCCUCCCAAUUGGGAGACCACUUCCCAAAUUUUGAACUUUUAGUCCCGAUCGGUAACAUUAGUUUCCACACUAAGUCUCCAUCGGCAAACUCCUUAGCCUUUACCUUCUUAUCGUACCAUCUGGCAACUCUCUUCUUAUUUUCUUCUAUACUUAUCAAAGCCCUUAGCUGAUGCCCUGCUAGAUCAUCCAACUCGUCUGUCAUCAAAGUAGUAUAAUCAUCGGCAGUCAAUUGAUCUUGAAAAGAUAGUCGCCUAGACCCAGUCUUAAUUUCCCAAGGUAACAUUGCAUCAUGUCCAUACACCAACUGAUAAGGUGAAACUUUGGUCGACCCAUGACAAGCCAUCCGAUAUGACCAUAAAGCUUCAUUCAACAAUGUAUGCCACCUCCUAGGAUUUUCUUCAAUCUUUCGUUUAAUAAGCUUGAUAAUUCCUUUGUUAGAUGCUUCGCCCUGCCCAUUAGCUUGAGCAUAAUAAGGAGAAGAAUUUAAUACUUUAAUUCCCAUACCGAUUGCAAACUCAUCAAACUCCCCUGAUGUAAACAUAGUACCCUGAUCGGUAGUAAUUGUCUGAGGAAUUCCAAAUCAGUAAAUGAUAUGCUCCUUCACAAAAUCAAUCAUAUUGGCCGAUGUAACUUUCUUCAAAGGAAUAGCUUCAACCCAUUUGGUGAAAUAAUCGGUGGCAACCAAGAUAAACUUAUGUCCUUUGCUGGAUGGCGGAUAAAUCUGGUCGAUCAAGUCAAUAGCCCAUCCUCGGAACGACCAAGGUUUGAUGAUAGGAUUCAUGGCCGAUGCGGGUGCUCUUUGAACAUUGCCAAAUUUCUGACAUCCUUGACACCCCUUGAAAUAUUUAAAGCAAUCUUCAAGUAUGGUUGGCCAAAAAUACCCAUCCUCCUAAUCAUCCACUUCAUCUUAAAAGCCGACUGAUGUGCUCCACAUACUCCUUCAUGGAUUUCUCCCAUUAAACUUUUAGCUUCAUCAUCACCUAAGCACCUGAGAAGAAUCCCAUCAAUAGUUCGAUAAUAUAAUUCAUCUUCAAGGAGCACAUACUUGGUGGCUUGAAACCGAACACGUCUCUCAACUUUCUUGGAUGGAUCCUUUAAAUAAUCAAUGAUUUCUUUUCUCCAAUCAUCGGCACUGAUUGCCGAUAUUGCGUUUAACAUGGGUUGAUAUCCCAACGCAUGCUGAGCCAACCGAUUGGCCUCUUCAUUAUGCAACCGAGGAACGUGCUCUAAUCGGAAAUCCUUGAAUUCCUUUAACAGUUGCGUACUUUUUCAUAGUAAGUUAUCAAGACCUUGCUUUGGCAUUCGUAACUUCCAGCCAAUUGAUUUAUAACCAACAUAGAAUCUCCAAAGAUUUCAACAGCAUCAGCACGAACCUCUUUUAACAACUCCAACCCCUUAAUUAAAGCUUGAUAUUCAGCUUGAUUAUUUGUCGACGUGGCAACAGUCGGCAAGGAGAACUCAUAUUUCCUUCCCUAAGGGGAAAUUAGCACUAUGCUGAUUCCUGCCCCCCGAUCACAUGUGGAUCCAUCAAAGAAGAGCGUCCACGGUACAAUUUCCAAAGCCUCCACUGCACCGCAAUGUUGAGUCACAAAAUCGGCCAUAAUAUGUCCUUUAACCGCUUUAGCCGAUUCGUAACGCAGAUCGAAUUCCGACAAUGCCAAAAUCCACUUACCGAUCCUACCACUCAUGAUCGGCAUAGACAGCAUAUAUCGGACCACGUCAUCUUUGCAUAUAAUAUUGCAUUCGGCCGAUAGUAAAUAGUGCCUCAAUUUAGUACAUGAGAAAUAUAGGCACAAACAUAACUUUUCAAUGGCCGAAUACCUGGUCUCAGCAUCAACCAAUCUCCUGCUUAAAUAGUAAAUCACACAUUCCUUCCCUUCAAAUUCUUGAAUUAAAGCCGAACUGAUGACCAUCCCAUCGGUAGACAAAUAUAACCUGAAGGGCUUUCCUUGCUGAGGUGGAAUCAGAACUGGAGGAUUUACCAAAUAAUUCUUGAUUUCAUCUAAAGCCAACUGUUGCUCCUUUCCCCAUACGAACUCUUGAUCGGCUUUCAAUCUAAGUAAAGGACUGAAAGCAUGAAUUUUACCAGACAAGUUAGAUAUAAAUCUCUUGAUAAAAUUUACCUUGCCGAUCAAGGACUGGAGCUCAGUUUUGUUGGUAGGAGCAACUAUUUUAUUGAUAGCAUCAAUGGAUCUCCUACUAACUUCAAUCCCCCUUUGAUGCACCAUGAAACCAAGGAAUUGUCCUGCCGAUACGCCAAAUGCACACUUGUUAGGGUUCAUCUUCAAACCAUGCUUCCUUGUGCAUUCUAACACCUUUCGCAAAUCGGCAAGAUGCUUUGUGAAGUCUCCAGACUUAACCACCACAUCAUCAAUAUAAAUUUCCACCAGCUUGCCGAUGAACUCAUGAAAUAUAAAAUUCAUAGCCCUCUGAUAAGUAGCACCAGCAUUUUUCAAACCAAAGGUCAUGACUAUCCAUUCAAACAACCCAACAUGACCAGGAAAUCUAAAUGCAGUCUUUGGAAUAUCUUCUUCAGCCAUGAAUACCUGAUUAUACCAUGCAUUGCCAUCCAUAAAGCUAAUGAUCCAAUGCCCAGCCGCAGCAUCAACUAGCAGAUCGGCAACUGGCAUUGGGUAGCCAUCCAUCGGUGUAGCUUUAUUAAGAUUCCUGAAAUCAAUGCAAACCCGAAGCUUCCCAUUUUUGUUAUAGACUGGAACAACAUUGGAAAUCCACUCGGUAUACCGACAUUGUCGAAUAAAUUUAGCUUCGAUGAGUUUGGUUAUUUCGGCCUUAAUAUCUGGAAGAAUAUUAGGAUUACAUCGGCGAGCUGGCUGUUGAUGUGGCCGAAAUCCAGACUUGAUGGGUAACCGAUGUUCAACAAUCGAUCGGUCCAAACCAGGCAUCUCAGUAUAAUCCCAAGCAAAGCAAUCUUUAUAUUCCUUUAACAAAUCGGUUAACUACUGCUUACACUCAGGAUUUAACUUAGCACUAAUAAAAGUAGGCCUGGGCUUAUCACCACUACCUAUAUCUACUUCUACCAAAUCAUCGGCCGAUGUGAAUCCCUGGCCUAAUUUUCCAUCAUCGGUGAAUCUAUCCAUUAGAACUCCUCGUCAGAACCGACUGCUUCGAUCGGUGGAAUUUCAUAAUCGGCAACUUUGAGGAACUCCUUCUCCCAAACUUCUCCUGAGAUACACCUAGUUCUUUCAUAAGUGUCCGCCUCUGUCGAUGCAAUGACAUAAGAAGAAUCGCUCGGGACAAUCUCAAUCUUGUCACCUACCCACUGGACCAAGCACUGGUGCAUUGUAGAUGGGAUGCAACAAUUGGCAUGAAUCCAAUCUCUCCCUAGAAGCAAGUUAUAAGCACCUUUUUCCGCUGAUCACGAAGAAAGUUGUCGGCAAGGUUUUGCUGCCGAUGGUCAACUCGACGCAUAUUGCCCCCUUAACUGAAGACACGUUUCCCUCGAAGUCCUUUAACAUCAUAUCGGUCUUGGUCAAAUCUUGUCCCCUUUUCCAAGCUUCCGAUAUACUGCAUACGGCAUGAUGUUGAUAGCGGCUCCACCAUCAAUUAAUAUCUUGGUCAUUGGCUGACCAUCAACCCUUACUUUGACAAACAGGGCUUUAAGAUGCUGCCUUUCAUUGUCGGCAGGCUUUUCAAAGAUAGCCGUCAUCGGAUCCAGAGCCAACUGAGCUAUCUGGUCGGAAAACUCCAACUCCUCAUCAUCGCUGGAUGGCGCAAGGAAUUCCACCGGCAACAUAAAUACCAUAUUAACUUCUGCCGAUGGCCCUUUCCCCUUAGUAUCUGAUUGUUGCUGAUCCCCAGAUUGGCCAGAGUUCUCGCCCUUGCUUAGCUCUUCUCGUCUUUCGCGCUGCAGACUCUUUUUCUUUGUUUUAGUCAACCCCUCUGGACACCAUGGGGGAAGUGGUGACUGCCUUGCCGAUGGACGACAAUGUUCCCUUGACUCCAUCCGAUAGUGUUAGCGUCCCUGCAAAAUAUGAACUCAUCAGGAACCUGUGCAUUAGCCAUCUCCUCAAGCUCUUCCUGAUUCCUAGAAAAUAUUCAACACGAUCACCAAGUCUAUCGUGCACACUGAGUCUGCCCCCCAGCUGAUCAUGAACGGACGCUCUCCCCUAAUCGGCCCAUUAAAUCGCCGAUCAUCAUCGUGAUAGCGUCGAUCGGAUCUGUCAUACCGAUUAUAACCAUUGCAUUCAGGGCAAUCUCUAACAGUGGGCAACUUGAUGUUCUGCUCCCAGCAAUGGAUAAAGAAUGGGUAGUUCCAGUGAUCUCUAUGCCGAUUCCACUCCUGUCGGCGUCUUUCUUCUUCCCAAUGAUAGUCUUCUUGUUGACGCCGAUACCGAUCCUCACGUUGAUGCCAAGUCUCCUGAGGCCUCCUGUGAGUUAUCACGAUACCAGAUCGGGGAGGCCUUCCUGAGUUAAUUCCCUCUUGGAUCAAGCCUUUUCCUUUGGCAUCGGCAACAGUAAUUUGAUGCUGAGGAUCUACCGAUGCACUCCUUUCGGUUGCUUCCGACGUCAAGACCUUGGUUUUUACCUUAGUAUCCAACAUAUUUGUUGGGAAAGGAUGUUGAUCGAUCUUCAUCGGCUUCUGAGCUUUGGAACUGUCAAAUUUGAUUCUUCCAGAUUCAAUAGCCGAUUGCAGCUGUUGUCUAAAAACCUUGCAUUCAUUGGUGCUGUGAGAAGUUGCAUUGUGCCACUUGUAGUAUUUCAUCUUCUUUAAUUCUUCAGCCGAUGGGAUUACAUGAUUGGGUGACAAUUUGAUCUGACCUUCCUGAAGUAAAAAGUCAAAUGCGAACUUCUCUGGCUCUUUAUGCCCAAAAGGACAAGACAUCGGCUUCUUGUUCUUCACCCACUCUGCCAAGCCGAUGACCGGCUCUUCAUCAAAAUCUGAGCUUGCUGCCUCGUCAACAAAUGACACCUUUUUGUUCCAAGCUCUCUUGGGUUCAAAGGGUUUGAUAUCCUGGUUGGAAAUCCUCUGGACCAAGUGACUCGGGCUCUCGAACUCUUGAGAAGCAUAUUUGUCCCUGAUAUGUGGCAACAAACCCUGGAAAGCCAAAUUGGCUAGCUGCCGAUCGUCCAAAAUCAGACUAUAGCAUUUGUUCUUGACUUCCCGCAACCUCUGCACAAAGCUUUCAACUGAUUCAUCAUUGCGUUGCUUCAAUCUGACCAAAUCGGUAAUCUUCUUUUCAUGGACUCCAGAAAAAAAGUACUUGUGGAACUGCUUCUCCAGAUCGGCUCAAGUAAUCACUGAGUUAGGAGGUAACGAAAUAAACCAGGUGAAAGCCGAUCCAGAUAAAGAUGAUGAAAACAAUCGAACCCUCAAUUCAUCCCUGUUAGCAGCUUCCCCACAUUGGAUGAUGAACCUGUUGACAUGCUCCAUGGUUGACGUAUCAUCCUGUCCAGAAAAUUUAGUGAAAUCUGGUACCUUGUACCGAUUUGGAAGUGGAAUCAAAUCGUAUGCACGAGGAUACGGUGUGUGAUAAGAGUAAGUGUUGACUUUGGGUUUUAUCCCAAAUUGGUCUCUCAUUACUUCAGCAAUCUUAUCGGCCCAAUAAGCAUCGGCAUCUUGCCGAUGAGGUGGUUGCGGAUCUGGCACUUGCUGAUACACUUCCACGUGUCUAUGCGGUGCACAAUCUGCAUGGAACAUUGGGUUAAUCAUUUGACCACCAAUCUGCUAACCACCAAUCUGUUGUCCAAGAUUCAUCGGCUGAUUAACCAUCCCUUGAUUAUGGAACCCAGGUUGGAUCUGGCCUUGUUGAAACCCUGUAGCCUGAUGAUUCUGUUGGGGCAUUUGUGGAAAGACUUGCUGCCCAGGCCAUCCAUUAUUAGCAUUCAUCGGCAUAGGUCCUGCCGAUGACUGGUAAUUGGGCAUCAUCAUUGAAUUGACAUACCCUGGCUGAGUCAUAAACCUCUUUUGCGUCGGCAUUGAAUCUGCCGAUGCAUUAGGCAUCUGGAAUGUUGGAGCUUGAGAAUUCCCAGUGUAAGGUCUAGCAGUAGUAGUUGUAGUAUACUGGGGACUCUGAUUCAUCGGCAUAUCUGGAGGCGCCGAUGCCAUAGGAGCCUUGCCUCUCAUAUCAGCCAUUUGAGAUGUUCCAGGUGUCUUCAACAUCAUCUCUGGGGGCAUACCAUAACCCCACCAGUUGGGAGGAACCGAUCCCGACAUUGCCGAUGCCAACAGAUCUGUGGCAAGCUUGAUUUGCUCAUCUGAAGUUGAUGGAUUGGUUGUCAUCGGCAUAGAUUGCACAUCGGUGUGUCCUAAUGUGCUUGGUGGAGCAGUAGUUUCUGUGCCCGCAGCGGCUGUUGUAGCCAAUGGAGCUGUGACAACUGGUGACCCCGGCUGAUGAUGAGAAGGACCCACAUAAUUUGGUGGCAAUUGUCCUUCUUUGAAAGUUCUAGCCACGGCGUUGAAAACCGUAUUGGACAGCACACCGGCUUGAUUGAUCAAGGCACGGUUAAUAGCACUAUCAACCAUGUCUUGAAGUUUACCAGGAUUGGCUUCAAAAGUAAUCUGCCGAGGCAUCGACAGUGCUUUCUUCUGGAUCACCUCGCCACUCCUGUUUAUGUUGAAGGAUUUCAAACAUUGCUGCUUGUAAUCCUCCAUGGCUUUUGCAAUAGCUUGCUUCUGCUCAUCUUUGAGAUUAGCUUCCGUCACGGGGAUGACAUUAUCCAAGUCGAAAUCGCUAGUCACCAUGUCGAUCUUGAUCUUGAAUCUUAUCCCAUCGAGCGUGCCAAAAGAUGUGUUGGUGCAAAAGUAAAUCUGCAAACACAAAGGGCUAAUACCCGAUUCAAACGUUAAGGCGUGCCAGCCGAUUUGACCUUACUAUCGGCAAAGGUGAUAACUCGAGUACUUUGGUCCCGACAACAGCGAUGCGCCCGGAUGUCACGGGCAAGAGGUAUUCACACGGAACUCGAGAAUACGCUGAGCUUAAGUCGACGAACUCCUAAGAACUCGUAAUGAAAAGGAAAAUAUGGCGAAGUCGUCGAAAAAGUAGAUGCUGGAAUAUGAGUAAAAACUUGUGUUUGAUUGAUUGAUAGAUAUCUCAUUACAAGGCCCUAGGGUCUACAUUUAUACCCUGCUCAAAGAGCUACAAUCAGACAUGACUAGGACUCGAAUUCCAAAUUGAACGGAAUCCGUAUACAAAACGAAUUUAAAUAUCUAUGGAAAACAUAAAACUAUCCUCCCGUGACAAACCGGGACACCACCGUAGAUCAAUCGGCAACCCUCACGUUCUCCUUCCGAGUCAUCAGCAGACUUCUCAUCAUAGACAUUGGCAAAGACUAACGCUGACCAUCGGCACGAAUGCGUCACCACUUCUGGACUUAGUCACAUUCAGCUGUCUCUUCAUCGGCAACCACCCUCAUCGGCAACUCCCCGGCAGACCAGUUACUGUUGCCCCAUCUUGCCGAUCUAUACUUUACCGAUCCCUGGGUACGUGUCCAAAAACGGUGUCAACCCAGGGGUUGCGUUCGGAGGGGGAGUUGCGUUCUACCGCUCAGAGGGUCCUACGCCACCUUGGGCAUCAGGGGCUUCUCCCUCAACCUCGAGGUUUGUUGACAGUCUUUAAUGCUCACAUUUAACCAUCAACUAAUCAUGGAAAAGGACCUAUAUGCAACCAACAUCUAAAAUUAGGGUUUCAUCUGACAGAAUUCCACGAGUUUUGGUGUUUGUCUAUUUCUGUAGGGGGUUAUCAGGAAAUAUGGAGGAAAGGUCCAAACGUCGGGUUUACAUAGAGAUAUUAACGUGCCGCGCAAUUUUUUAUCAUCUAGAAGACUCUAGAAGCCACGGGAACGAAGCGGAGGCAGAACGGGGCAUGGCCCAGGGCACCCGCCCUAAGGACCAGGGCGCCCGCCCUCCUGUAGUGCCCAAUCAGGGUCAACUUCGUGGAUCGUGCUCCACUGACCUAAGGGAUCAAGGAAAACCGUGCGAUUAAUGUCGGUUUGAUCCGACGGCCCAGAUUCACUUGAGGGGACUAUAUAAGCAGACCCCCUACCCCCUGGAGAACAUACCUCUUCUACAGAAUCAAAGCUAGGGUUUCAAUUAUUCAUCCAAGUAGAGAGGAUCCCUCUAGUUCAUCUAGUUCUAGUUCUAGUUCCUCUAGUUCUAGUUAGUUCUAGUUGUAAUCUAGAAAAUAGAGAAAGAGAAGAGGAGAGCGGAGGAGGAGCCGGAUCUGUCGGAUCUUCCUCAACAAUGUACUUUUGCAGCAACUGGUUCGUUCUUCAUCGUUCUCUAGGUUCUUCAAUUCAUAAUUACUGAGUUUUUAAUUACUUUUAUUUACAUUCAAGUUAUUUAUUAGAUUCCCGCUUGCAUCAAGUGCUCUAGUCUUUGCAAUGCUAGAGUAGUAUUUAAUAGAUUAGACGUGGUGUUUAGUCUUGUAAUUACCUGGAAUUGCAUCCAAUCCUGCGGAUUGUUGUGGUAGCCCGAGGGUAGUGACAGCCCUAACGGUCGACGUAUUCCACCUUGUUCGGAUUGGUGUUUAUAGGACCGUAGUCAGAGCUUCCUAGCCCCCUUCUCAUCUCUUUCUGUGGUUAGUGUUCUGAUGUCCCAAAAUAAAUAAUCUUUGAAGUAAUUCUUGAUUCUUAGAUCAACUAGAGAACUCUCAGGAAACUUCCUCUCUUCCCACCAAAAAUAAUUAUAUAGUUAUCCUUGGGCGAUCUUGAAUCUUAAUUAGUACACUCACAUUCCCUGUGGAAAAUCGAUACUCUGGAAUACUCCAGGGUGAAGGCUACAUCGGUAUCCGUGCGCUUGCGGAUUUUUCUGUUUGCGUUUAAAAUACCCAACAAGGUUGAAGCACUCUCAUGACGGAUUGUAGCUGCCAUCAUCAGAGUCAGAGUAGCUGAGGCAAUAGUUGCUUGCCUCAAGGAAGCGCAUGAAAGUCUCCAGGACGCCAAAACCUGACAAGUUAGCGCCGGCCCAUUCGUCCUCUCCCAAGGUGGGAUCCUUGGGGUACGACGAAAUGGGUGGUGUGGCGAUAAGGUCCAGCGUAGACCUUAAGUGGUGCCCCAAAAGGUCCACGUAUGCACAUAGUGAAGUGCUUGCGGAAGAGGCAUAGGUGGCAGCUGCGCUCCUGAGCCCGAAAGGGAGCUCGAAAGACGCAACUGCGGGCUCUCCUGUCGUAGCUUUGGGCGAUGUGGGAGGGUGCUGAGAAGUCGAAGCCCCUAGGUCCCCAUUUUGAGGAGGAGGUGGUUGCCGCCCUUUGCCUUUUGACUGUGGCGGAACAGGGGGUCGUGAUGUCCCCCUGUUGGUCCGUGGAGCAGAGCUUGAUGCUCCAUGGGCCCUACCCCUGGUGCCACGUGGGCCAGAGGAAUGGGGAUCCGAUGAGGAAUGUGCGGGGGGAGUGCCAGAUGAGUCCUGGCUUCGGCAACAGGGGCAGAGAUCCUGGACCUCUGACGCCCACGCCAGGCUCCCCCUUCAUGGUGUCCCGAGCGCCUCCCACGCACUGGCUAUGGUGGGAUUGGCUCGGGACGAGGAUCGGUGUCGUCAUGAGGUGGGAGAAGGACCAUGUCAUAGUCGGAGCCGAGAGACAUGAACUCCAAACUCCCAAACAUCAUGAUGGUGCCGAGGUGAAGUGGGUGAAAUCCGUCUAGCAUCCGGGCUUUCCCUUAUAGGGAAAGGAGAGUGUCACGCAGAAGGCCCCUACCUGGCGCGCCAACUGUCAGUGUCUAUACUCAGGGUCCAAGCACUAACAAGUAAUAAGUCUGCAUGUCCUCCUAAACCCGAAUGGUGAUGCAAGGGAACACAGGGGAUUUAUACUGGUUCGGGCUUCGAAUGCCCUACGUCUAAUGAGGGGAUCAAAGUCUCUAUUGCCUUGCACCUGAGAGUGCUUGUAGUAGGGGUGUACAAGCUGGUUGCAAGAGAUGACUAAGUCCCAAGUCUCGACUUUAGGGAGUAAAUGGAGGGGAGUGCACUACUUGGGUGAAGAGUGUUGUUUGUGAUCUAUGUGUGUUGCGUUGUCUUUGAUAGGUGCCCUGCCUCCCCUUUUAUAGCCACAAGGGGUGAUAGGGUUUUUACUUGUGUAAGGUUGUGAAUUAUCUUUGGUGAGUGUGGUAGUGACAGUGCAGGUCCUGUGGAGAUCGGCCACUUCGUCCUUUGGGUAUGGCUUGACGGCGUGGUCACUCCAGUGGAGGGUCACCGAGCCCUGUUGAAGUUGUGGUGGUCGGGUCGGUGACACUGCAGUGUGUCCUACAAUAGUAAGGUAAUGACAGUCUAGAUGUGGUCACAGUGGCAGGGGUUAACCCUCCCCAUACAUCCUUUUACUAUAAGGCAAUGCCCCACAGUGAAAGAGGUAAGGUUCCACAGUGACUGGAGUUGUUGAAAUAGUAGCUGGCAUGCCCUGCUGCAGCAUGGGAGGCAUGGUGCGCGUCACAUCGGAGGUACGACCAUCGUGUGGUGAAAGCCUGACUCUAAGGCCGAGGCUCGGGCGAAGCGUAGAUUGCGCUCGAUGUUGAGGUUUUGGUAAAGGCGAAGAUCUCAUCCGAGACUCAGAGCUUGGGCGAGACAGAUCUUGCGUCCGAGGCCAGGGGGUCGGGCGAGAUGGAGCUUGCAUCCGAGCCCAGGGGGGUCGGGCGAGACGGAGCUUGCGCUCGGGCCUAGGAGGUCGGGCAUGACGGAGCUUGCGCUCAAGCCUGAAGGGGUUGGGCACUCGUCCUACUUCUUUUUGCCGCUUUUUAUCCCCUUAAUAUGGGUAUCCCCUUUUACGGUACCCAACAAAUUAAAAUCAAAUUAUUAGGUGUUACAAAUUCUACCCCCCUUAAAAGAAUCUCAUCCUCGAGAUUGAGCAUGCUUACUCAAACAACUAUGGAUAUGAUUUUCUCAGAUCAUCUUCUCUUUCCCAAGUUGCCUCUACUUCCGAAUGCCGAUUCCAUUGCACUUUGCACAUCUUAAUAAUCCGACUUCUAGUGACUCUCUCAAUGGUCUCCAAUAUUUUAACCGAGUAUUAUUCAUAAGUGAGAUCACCUUUAAUAGAAAGCUCUUCUAAUGGUAUUUGCUCCUUAGGUAUGUUGACACUUGCUAACACCACUUGUAUACUAAGUUGUCAUCCCCAGCAUGGCACUAGAGUGUACUAUGGUAUUUAUACGCACACAGAUAAUCCGCAAGCGCACAGAUACCGUUGAAGCUUUUACUCGGUUAAAGGUUUUAUCGUAUCCACAGGGAAACGAGAGAACUAAUCUACGCUCUAACUUAACCAAGAUAAGUAAAUAAGUGUAAAUAGGAAAGAUGGUAGAAUCGAAUAAGAGCAAUAUUAAAGGUAAGAUAACAGUGAGUGAUAAUAUGGGAAUAGAGAAUAGAGCAAUUCUAGUAUAUGGGCGAUGGUAGCAGAAUAGAGAGAAUAACUAUGGUUUCUCUACUUCAAAGGGGUAUGUCUAUGUCUGGGACGAACCACGUGAUAAGAGUACACCACAAAGGAUGCUUAUCCUUAGGCCGAUAAACCCUACCCGUCCUGCUAACGAGAGGUGGACUACAGAAGACCAACGUAACUGUCACCUACGCGGCCUACCAUACGAUCCAGCUAGACAGGGGAUAUCCACAAGUAAUCUAGGUCUAAGCACCACGCUUACACCUAUACUACAACUCUAACCUAUAGCGUCCUAUAGAUUAAAUUACUCAAAAGAGUUGUGAACCAGAACAUACAUAAUUAGUAAUUGCAUAAUGAAUUAGAAGUAGAUUACCAGAGUCAUCCCAUGAGCAAGCUUGAUUAGAGCUUGAUCAUGACGAAGUACAACCGGAGGAAGAACCGACAGGCCGGCCUCUCCUCUAAUCCUCCUUCGCUCUCCAUCUUGCUACUAUCUAGAUCUACUCUAGUUUAGAGAAGAGAAGAGAGCUCUCAUCUCUAAACCCUAGCUUUUGCUCUGUCUAUGAAUAAUGAAUAAUGAUCAAGGGGUGCCUCCUCCAGGGGCCAGGGGGUCUGGUUUUAUAGUCCCCUCAAGUGAACCUGGGCCGUCAGAUCAAACCGACAUAGAUUGAAUGGUUAUCCUUGAUCCUUUAGGUCGGUGGAGAUCUCUCGAGAAACAGAGUCCUGAUUGGACUCCAAGUCAGGGCGGGCGCCCAGGGCAGGAGGGCGGGCGCCCUACCUCUGGCCCCGUUCGGCCUCCGCUUUCUUCCCGUGGCUUCUGGAGUCUUCUAGAUGUAAGAUAAUUGCGCGGCAUGUUAAUAUGUCUAUGUAAUCCCGACGUGUGGGCCUUUCUUCCGUAUUUCCUGAUAACCCCCUGCAGAAAUAGACAAACACCAAAACUCGUGGAAUUCUGUCAGAUAAAACCCAAAGUCUAGAUGUUGAUUUCAUUUGGAUCCUUUUCUUUGUUUAUUUGAUAAUUAAAUUUGAUACUUAAGGACCGUCAACAAACUCCCCCAAGCUUACCUCUUGCUCGUCCCUAAGCAAGGAUAGACUCAGCAAUGGAUCAUAAGUUGUUGCAAUAUCUUAAAAAUUUGACGGUACACAUGCUUUUAAAUAAGAUCUCAUCUCUGAGUUAGAGUAAACUGUCAAGAACUAAAACUUACUUACUUUACCUUUCACCAUGGGACUUGUAACCGUCACUUCUGUCUUGAGUAGUUAAAAGAUAGAACAGUCUAGCCAAGUGUCAUGUCUCUUAUUCUUAAUCAGCUAUAGCUCUGGAGUUUUUGUAGAUUUUCAAAUAAAACUCAGAGAUUCCUUGUAUGACUCUCUAAAUCUCUCUUUUGUGGUAUUUCUGGAUCCUUACCAAGGCAGUGAUGGUAUAUGCCUUCUCUCAAGAUAUGUGGUAUUUGUGGUAUAAGGCAUAGUGACAUUGCCUUCUCUCUCACCCUACUCUAAUAAGGCUUUAAUAUCUGGAGUUCAUAGGUGGGAGAUAAAGUAUACAUACUUACAAGACAUUUAUUGUAUAGUCAAACCAUGGAUCUAAAGAAACAAAUCAAUAAGCCAAAUCAAGAUGUGCAUGUGUGGCGAAUGAAUGGUGUAUGGUGAUGAUGGUGAUAACAAUGGUGAAAGUCUAAUUCUACUUUUGCUCUUUUGAGGGGAUACAUACCUUCCUUGCUUUUUGAAACUUUAUGAGGAGAAUGAGAUGCUCUAUCUUUCAUUUUUCUUUCCUCUCAGGUGGGUAUCCUAUACCCCUAAUUCUACUGUCAGACACUUGUCCAUUUUUACCUCUCGUCUCACUCUUUUUUCUUUUCUUUCGAGGUUCCGGGCACUUGCCCCUUUUUAUUUCCUCAUUUAUUUAUUUUUUUUCUUUUCUUCUCUUUUCUUUUUUUUCAGAACACUCAUCUCUUGAGAUAAUAUAGCAAGUGGUAGUAGCAAGAUAACUUGAGCAUUUAUUUCACAAGAGAAAACAGAAAUAUUUUUAGCUAUUCUCUCCCGGAUUAGGAGUAGAAUAUUUUUGGGUGGUUCUGGAGAUGGACAUGGAUGGAUAUAUGUGGAUGGUACUUCUGGAGUAGAAGUAGCAUAUAUGAGUGAACGUGCAAGUGAAUCUUGAUUUAACCACAUGACAAGCUCCUAAGGGUCUACACAGCUUGACCACACUUAAUGCUCAUAAGCAGUAAAUAGUAAAUGUGUGGCUCAAAGUCUAGCAAGCAUGUAUAUAUGGCUGUGGUAGGAAUUUAAACUCUCAUCAUGCAGGAACUCGUCAUGCAAUAUUUUAAAGAUUUUUCAAAGAUAAAAUUCUCUAGAAUUCUAGCAUCUCUAGGAACAGAUAAACAGCAGCUCAACCUUCCCAUAUCAUAUCCGUUAACAACUUAGAUUUCAGAUCAAGUUUUCAUCCCACAAGUUUAGAUCUAGAGCAAGCUUUAAAUUAUAACAGUUAUGUCUAAACUUGAGAGAGAACUUCAAAUUUGCAAAUUAGGCAGAGCAACUAUUCAUCAUAUCCAUGCUAGAGUUUUAUUAUUAAGAUUCAGAUUAGCAUAGCCACUUUAUUUAUUUAUUAAACACACUAAGCAAAAGAUAUAUAUAAGUACAAAAUCUUUAUUUGGUUUUUCAUAGUUUAUGUAUUUUAAUAUUCUAAUAUAAUAUAAGUAUAAAGAUAGAUAGAAAUACUUAGCGAGAUAAAUGGGGGUGCUCUCCCCCAAGCUGAAUUUUUGACGUAAUUUCUCUUGAUGUAGCUAGCAGGUGGCAGAGGUGUAUUUGAAAGUCAGCAGCAUUCUGACAGCGAUUAGAAUGUCCUCCGUCUGCUAGUCUUCUUGAUUCUUAAAUUCUGUGGAGCUCAAAUAGACAACAAAGCUUGUGGAACUAAUUAAGUGUUAGCAUAAAUAUCUAGCCUUCAUCAUGUUGAGCUUCCUCAAUAAAUAUUACUCCUUAUUUUUAUAUUUUUAUUUUAUAAAGUAGAAAAGAAAUAUUUAUUUUAUUUUUAUGCCACCACAGUGAAGGUAUUUAUGGAUUUUAUGCCACUCGUAUACUCAUAUGGGGCUUAGUAUUUUUUAACAUUUUUAUUUUCUUUUCAAGAUAGCAUGAUUUAACUAAUAAUCUAUUUAAGGAAAGUAAAUAAUUAAAGGGAAAAGGGAAUGCAGAAAGGAUAAAUAUGGAUAACUACCGAUCUUACCUUUCGGCGAGGGUUCAAUGUUUUAAGUCUUCUUAACAAGACUUCUCACAGUGUUCAUUCUUCAGGUGCGUCAUUUGAUUCAGGUGCGGACCUUGACGUCUGCACUUCUUUGUUUGCCCAGCAGUUCGAAGUGCGGCGUUUGCAGUAUCCUGCUCACUGUGUUUGUGCUCGUAGAUCCAGGUCCUUCACUUGGUAGAGUCUGAGAGUUAUAAAACUCCUCCGUGUUUUGCUCGAAGUGUACCUGCUCAUAGAGACAAGGCAGAGAUCAAGUGUAUGGGUCCUGUUGGUGGAAAACACCAACAGAACCUAAAGUGUAUUUGUUCUUCUCUAACCCUAAGCAUAGUGAGCAAGACAAAGUUGAUGGAUGAAAAGUUCAUGAGUGUAGCACUUAUAACAUUUGUCAGAUCAGAUCGCUCAACCUUAUGGAAGAUAAUCUAUCUAUGUAUAUGUCUCUUUUUUUAUAUCUCUCAAUGAUUGAAUGUGUAACAUUUUAGCUCAUAUGAUUAGGAGUGUGGGAUCAUGGAGGUAGUACUAAGAACAAGGAUUAAAGGACUAAACAUGUUGAAUCAGUUGGGUUGGUUAAUCUAGAGUUGUAAAUCAUAC
Molecule: long non-coding RNA, 42561 nt
Filed under: Sorghum bicolor (sorghum)
Lineage: Eukaryota; Viridiplantae; Streptophyta; Magnoliopsida; Poales; Poaceae
Description: long non-coding RNA (SBIC_LNC017382)
Source: RNAcentral